CACAAAAACUCAAAACGGUUUCUUCAUCUGAUCGGAAACUUAUUUCGCGAUUCAAUUUAAUCUGAUCGGAAAAUAUGUGACUGUUUCCAUCAGUUGCAACAGCCGGUGAUGAAUCUGAUGGAUGGGAUCGCAAUUUGGGAGAAAACAAAAAACUUUUGUCGCCGUGAAGUCUGGUGACGAUUGGAUCGGAUUACGCAGAACAAUUCAGACUUUAUUGAUAAGGAGAUUCGAUUUCAAGAGAAGGAAUCUUUAAGCUGCAAAGACAAGUUUGGAGACUAUACAAGGGUUAAGGACAUAAAUCUUGUUGAUCGACCUAUUCCAUUAGCGUACACAGAUAAAACUGUUCAAGAUUCUCUUAAAAAAGAGCAAACAACAACACUUGUGCAUAACGGUUAAGGUGUUAAAACUUUGAAAAUGCUUUCCCGUAGAUGAGGAUGGUUUCAAGUUAAAACCGGGUUUUCAUAAGAAAGAGCAUAAGUUUGUGAUGCUACCAAAUUUAAACACUGACCAGCAAUAACCUUAUGUGUGCUUGUUGAUGUAUCUCUAAGGAGUUAAUAUAGAGGUAAUAAAGAGAAUUUGAAAAUCUCAAGAGGAAUGCAAACCGAAAAAUCUAGACAUUCACCGCACAAUCUCUGAUGCAUUUUCCACCACCAUUCAAGGCGCUGACGCCAUAACUAGAAAGUGAAAAGGUUUGGACUGGUGAUCUGAGUUCUGCAAGACCAUUCCCUUGUGAAGACUUUAUUGAUAAGGUGCUUCGAUUUCAAGAGAAGGAAUCUUAAAGCUGCAAAAACAAGUUUGGAGACCAUUCAAGGGUUCAGGACAUAAAUGUUGUUGAUCGACCUAUUUCAUUAGCGUACACAGAUAAAACUAUUCAGGACUCUCUUAAAAAAAGCUAACAACAACACUUGUGCAUAACAGCAUAACGGUUAAGGUGUUAAACUGUACGAUUAUGUAUCUCUGGUUGUUGUUGACUUACUAAUAAAGGUCAUUGCCAGUGUAGCAUGCAUUAACCUGUCUUCUUCUUCAAGAGAAAUGCAAAUAUGCUAUAUAGUUCAAAAUGCUUUCCCGUAGAUGAGGAUGGUUCAUAAGAAAGAGCAAAAGUUUGUGAUGCUACCAAACAUGACCACUGACCAGAAUUCGAAAAUCUCAAGAGGAAUGCAAACAGAAAAAUCUAGACAUUCACGGCACAAUCUCUGAUGAAUUUUCCACCACCAUUCAAGGCGUUGACGCCAUAACUAGAAAGUGAAAAGGUUUGAACUGGUGAUCCUAGUUCUGCAACACCAUUUCCUUGUGAAGGAUAAUUUUGUUGAUGAGCGAGCUUGUUUCUGUCUUUCUUGCUGUGAGAUGAAUCUUAGUUCAAGUGGGUUACAAAAUACCAAUAGCCUUCUCAUGAAUUUGAAAGGAAAUAACUUGACUGCUGGUGGACUUGCACUGCCACUAAGUUACAGACUUUAUUGAUAAGGUGCUUCGAUUUCAAGAGAAGGAAUCUUUAAGCUGCAAAGACAAGUUUGGAGACCAUACAAGGGUUAAGGACAUAAAUCUUGUUGAUCGACCUAUUUCAUUAGCGUACACAGAUAAAACUGUUCAGGACUCUCUUAAAAAAGUUUAACACUUGAAAGUAUGAAUGAGAAGAAGCAACCUCGUCUGGGGAUAUCGGUUUUGGUUUAGUAAGUUUGACUUCUUUACCUCUCUCAUCAAAACAUUAAACGCACGAAAACAUAAAACACAACCAAAACAAGUAAUCUCCACAACCUCAAUGUUCACAUAACAUAAAACACAACCAAAACAAAAAUGUAAAAAUAAACUCCACCCACAACGUGAUGUUCACAUAAAACACACAACCAAAACAAAAAUGCAAAAAAAUAAACUCUAUCCACAACGUCACGUCAUGUUCACGUAAAAACACAUCCAAAACAAAACAAAAAUGCAAAAAUAAACUCCACGUUCUCAUAAACUCCACAACAUCACGGUCACAUAGGCUUUCUUUGCAGCCCAAUUUAACUCAAUUCCUAUUUUUAAAUUUUCUUUUCGCAAUGUAAUUAUUGAGCUUCAUUUGUUUUAAAAAUGUAAAUUAAGUUGUUACCGUUGUGAUAGAAGAAAAAUUAACAGAAACAAAAUCUCGUAUAGAUUUCCUUAAAACUCAUAUUAAUAUAACCGUUAUGAUUGAGAUAAUUAUCAAUUUCCUUUUCUUUUAAUUAACCUCUUAAUUAAUUUUCCUUUUUAAGUAUUAAAAAUUUACUCUUUCUCUCAACUCCACAACGCUUCUUCUCCGCUCUUCCUUUUCAUCGAGAAAUCAAAAUUCUCUUCUUCUUCUUCUUCUUCUUCGAUUCUCUGAUUCAUCGUCGGUGUAAAGCUUCCACCUUUAUAGAUUUCCUUUCAUCGUCGGUGUAAAGCUUCUACCUUUAUAGAUUUCCUCUGGUUGAUUUGUUGUUGUGAGAUUCGGUAUGAUGAUCGAGAUAUGCAACACGGCGAUCAUAGGGUGCUGAGGCUUGAGACGUGGUGGUGGUGAUCCAGGCUUUUGAUUCCUCUUCUUCUGCUUCGUCUUGGGAUCUAGCCUCUGCUUUGUCCUCAUGGUGGUGCUCUUGCUUCCUCUUUUCCCUUCACGUUUGUUUGGUUUCACAAUCUCAUAAGCGUAUAUGUAUGUAUAAACGAUUGAUGCAAGCCAAUGUGUGAUACUAUUCAGUUCAUCAAUCAUGUUGGUCCUAUGAUUCACGUAUCUGUGUUAGAAUUUCCUCUUUUGCUUAACUAUUACAAAUCCAUUAAUAUGCAGACCUUUGAUAGGAGGAGAUUUGAUGAUCAUGUAGCAUCAGCAUUACUACAUUUAUAACCGAGCUUACAGAACUGAAUCUCGUAGUAGUCAAGACUCGAUGAAUGUCUUUAUGAUGAUCUCCAUCGAUCCUCUGUUUUCUUCAGUCAUUAGAGACUAGGAGAAUAUUUAUAAGAGGAUUUUAUAUAUAUUAAAGAGAGGAACAGAGGUAUUAGCACUUAGCAGCAAAAUUCAGACACGACCACGGACUGAGUCACCUCAUCCCUCAGGAUAUUUAAAUAUAACAGGCGAGGGAAAAAGAAAACUCAAGGAGUUAUCGUAUAGAUUUUUACCUCUGCAAAUGGAGUUAUCUUGAAAACGUUUAAAAGAUUUGGUGAUAUGGUGUUGAUACCAAGGGUUAAUGCGUUCCGACAACGUAUAAGAUCAAGGUUUAUGAAGUUCAACAAAGCUUAGAAUUGAAGUUUAUAAAUGUUUUGAUUGGGGGAAUUAACAAGAGUGUACAAGUAGAGAAUAUCCUCGUAACACUGUUUUCUUCCCCUCUUAAAUCAAUGAUCAUACAAACAAUAUUAACAGAA
This is a long non-coding RNA of Capsella rubella, 3342 nucleotides long. RefSeq lists it as uncharacterized. The record is from RefSeq and is a predicted model, not a curated record. The transcript has 25 exons. Lineage: Eukaryota; Viridiplantae; Streptophyta; Magnoliopsida; Brassicales; Brassicaceae.